RNAcentral lists this transfer RNA (69 nucleotides) under Oryzias sinensis (Chinese medaka). RNAcentral describes it as "tRNA-Phe". It matches the Rfam family "tRNA". Rfam says of the family: Transfer RNA (tRNA) molecules are approximately 80 nucleotides in length. Their secondary structure includes four short double-helical elements and three loops (D, anti-codon, and T loops). The record is from RNAcentral. Lineage: Eukaryota; Metazoa; Chordata; Actinopteri; Beloniformes; Adrianichthyidae.
GCUAGCGUACCUUAACUAAAGCAUAACACUGAAAAUGUUAAAAUAAACCUUAAAUUGGUUUCGCAAGCA